UCUGCUCAGAUUGAACGCUGGCGGCAUGCCUAACACAUGCAAGUCGAGCGGCAGCAUACCCUUCGGGGUGCUGGCGAGCGGCGGACGGGUGAGUAACGGCGUGGAAAUCUACCCUUCGGUGGGGGAUAGCCCGGAGGAAACCCGUGAUUAAUACCGCAUACGCCCUACGGGGGAAAGCGGCCCUCUGAUGCAAGGUCGCGCCGAUGGAUGAGCCCGCGUCUGAUUAGCUUGUUGGUGGGGUAACGGCCUACCAAGGCGACGAUCAGUAGCUGGUCUGAGAGGACGGUCAGCCACACUGGGACUGAGACACGGCCCAGACUCCUACGGGAGGCAGCAGUGGGGAAUAUUGGACAAUGCAGGAAACUGUGAUGGCGCAACGUCGCGUGGUGGAUGAAGCGCUUCGGCGUGUAAACACCUUUUCUGCGUGAAGAAGUUUAUUGACAUUAGCGCAGGUAACAAGGGGCUCCCAAAUUCGUGCCAGCAGGAGCGGUAACACGAAUGCCCCAAGCGUUAUCCGGAAUCACUGGGCGUAAAGGGUCCGCAGGCGGCCGUAUUAGUCCCGCGUUAAAUCGCAAUGCUCAACAUUGCGGCUGCGCUGGAAACGGUACGGCUUGAGGAUGUGAGAGGUGUGUGGAACCGACGGUGUAGGGGUGAAAUCCGUUGAUAUCGUCGGGAACACCAAAAGCGAAAGCAGCACACUGGCACAUUCCUGACGCUCAUGGACGAUAGCCAGGGUGGCGAACCGGAUUAGAUACCCGGGUAGUCCUGGCCGUAAACGCUGUUCACUAGCUUUGGGGAGUAUCGACCCUUUCCGAGGCGAAGCUAACGCGUUAAGUGAACCGCCUGGGUACUACGAGCGCAAGCUUAAAACUCAAAGGAAUAGACGGGGGCUCGCACAAGCGGUGGAGCAUGUGGUUUAAUUCGACGAUAAGCGAAGAACCUCACCGAGGCUUGACAUCUACGUGAUCGGCUUUCGAAAGAUCGCCCUCCCUUCGGGGCACGUAGACAGGUGAUGCAUGGCCGUCGUCAGUUCGUGGUUUGAGCUGUUCCCUUAAGUGGGGAAACGAACGUAACCCUCACCGUAUGUUAUAUGUGUCAUACGGUACUGCCUACCACUAAGCGCAUUUCAACGAAGUGCGUUUCGUGGUGGGAGGAAGGAGGGGAUGACGCCAGGUCAGCAUGUCCCUUUGAUGCCUCGGGCUACACACGUGCUACAAUGGUGCCUACAACGGGUAGCGAUCGCGCGAGCGUAAGCCAAUCCUUCAAAAGGCAUCUCAGUCUGGAUUGCAGUCUGCAACUCGACUGCAUGAAAUUGGAAUCGCUAGUAAUCGUGGGUCACCAAUACCACGGUGAAUUUGUUCUCGAGCCCUUGUACUCACCGCCCGUCAAGUCAAGGAAGCUGGGAGCGCCCGAAGUCCC
This 1419-nucleotide ribosomal RNA is filed under the name uncultured bacterium. Its description in RNAcentral is "partial 16S ribosomal RNA". It matches the Rfam family "Bacterial small subunit ribosomal RNA". The record is from RNAcentral.